CCUACGGGGGGCUGCAGUGGGGAAUAUUGCACAAUGGGCGCAAGCCUGAUGCAGCCAUGCCGCGUGUGUGAAGAAGGCCUUCGGGUUGUAAAGCACUUUCAGCGGGGAGGAAGGCGUUAAGGUUAAUAACCUUGUCGAUUGACGUUACCCGCAGAAGAAGCACCGGCUAACUCCGUGCCAGCAGCCGCGGUAAUACGGAGGGUGCAAGCGUUAAUCGGAAUUACUGGGCGUAAAGCGCACGCAGGCGGUCUGUCAAGUCGGAUGUGAAAUCCCCGGGCUCAACCUGGGAACUGCAUUCGAAACUGGCAGGCUAGAGUCUUGUAGAGGGGGGUAGAAUUCCAGGUGUAGCGGUGAAAUGCGUAGAGAUCUGGAGGAAUACCGGUGGCGAAGGCGGCCCCCUGGACAAAGACUGACGCUCAGGUGCGAAAGCGUAGGGAGCAAACAGGAUUAGAUACCCUGGUAGUC
RNAcentral lists this ribosomal RNA (465 nucleotides) under uncultured Klebsiella sp. RNAcentral describes it as "bacterial SSU rRNA". It matches the Rfam family "Bacterial small subunit ribosomal RNA", at positions 338 to 795 of the family's 1533-position model. The record is from RNAcentral. Lineage: Bacteria; Pseudomonadati; Pseudomonadota; Gammaproteobacteria; Enterobacterales; Enterobacteriaceae.